UGUAGGUUAUUCAAACUGAUAUUUGAUGAGUUCACAGUACGCAUUAUUCCAAGAGAUGCUCCUCUACUAGAAUCUGUUGGACCACAAAAGUGUCUUGCUUUCAGCACAGAUGGUGCAAAAUUUGCAAUUGGUGGAGAGGAUGGACAUCUCAGAAUAUUCCAUUGGCCAAGCAUAAA
This is a long non-coding RNA of Zea mays, 176 nucleotides long. RefSeq lists it as uncharacterized. The record is from RefSeq and is a predicted model, not a curated record. NCBI's taxonomy places the organism in Eukaryota, Viridiplantae, Streptophyta, Magnoliopsida, Poales, Poaceae. The transcript is spliced from 2 exons.